CCUACGGGUGAGCAGCAGUGAGGAAUAUUGGUCAAUGGACGCAAGUCCGAACCAGCCAUGCCGCGUGCAGGAAGACGGCUCUAUGAGGUGUAAACUGCUUUUGUACGAGGGUAAACGCAGAUACGCGUAUCUGUCUGAAAGUAUCGUACGAAUAAGGAUCGGCUAACUCCGUGCCAGCAGCCGCGGUAAUACGGAGGAUUCAAGCGUUAUCCGGAUUUAUUGGGUUUAAAGGGUGCGUAGGCGGUCGGAUAAGUUAGAGGUGAAAUCCCGAGGCUCAACUUCGGAAUUGCCUCUGAUACUGUUCGGCUAGAGAGUAGUUGCGGUAGGCGGAAUGUAUGGUGUAGCGGUGAAAUGCUUAGAGAUCAUACAGAACACCGAUUGCGAAGGCAGCUUACCAAGCUACUUCUGACGUUGAGGCACGAAAGCGUGGGGAGCAAACAGGAUUAGAUACCCCUGUAGUC
Molecule: ribosomal RNA, 461 nt
Filed under: uncultured bacterium
Lineage: Bacteria
Description: partial 16S ribosomal RNA
Rfam family: Bacterial small subunit ribosomal RNA
Source: RNAcentral